CCUACGGGAGGCAGCAGUAAGGAAUAUUGGACAAUGCUCGCAAGAGUGAUCCAGCCAUGCCGCGUGCAGGAAGAAUGCCCUAUGGGUAGUAAACUGCUUUUGAACUAGAGAAAACCCCAGUACGUGUACUGGGCUGAUAGUAUAGUUAGAAUAAGCAUCGGCUAACUUCGUGCCAGCAGCCGCGGUAAGACGAAGGAUGCAAGCGUUAUCCGGAUUCAUUGGGUUUAAAGGGAGCGUAGGUGGACUUAUAAGUCAGUGGUGAAAUCUCCGAGCUUAACUCGGAAAUUGCCAUUGAUACUGUAGGUCUUGAGUACAGUUGCUGUGGGCGGAAUAUGACAUGUAGUGGUGAAAUACAUAGAGAUGUCAUAGAACACCGAUUGCGAAGGCAGCUCACAAAGCUGUAACUGACACUGAGGCUCGAAAGUGCGGGGAUCAAACAGGAUUAGAUACCCUGGUAGUCCGCACCGUAAACGAUGAUUACUCGCUGCUAGGGGGCAACCUUUAGUGGCUUAGCGAAAGCGAUAAGAAUCCACCUGGGGAGUAGCCGGCAACGGUGAAACUCAAAGGAAUUGACGGCNGAGAGNGCGAGGACGACACGAGGGAGGAGG
This 608-nucleotide ribosomal RNA is filed under the name uncultured bacterium. RNAcentral's name for it is "bacterial SSU rRNA". It matches the Rfam family "Bacterial small subunit ribosomal RNA", at positions 338 to 951 of the family's 1533-position model. The record is from RNAcentral.